AGAACGAACGCUGGCGGCAUGCCUAACACAUGCAAGUCGAACGCUCUUGGGCGUUCGGUCUCAGGGGAGGUGGCGCACGGGUGAGUAGCGCGUGGGAACCUGCCCUGUUGUGGGGGAGUAACCGAGGGAAACUUCGGCUAAUACCGCAUAAGCCGGUUGUCUUGAAGGAGAUGGCCGGGAAAGAUUUAUCGCGACAGGAGGGGCCCGCGUCGGAUUAGCUAGUUGGUGGGGUAACGGCCCACCAAGGCGGUGAUCCGUAGCUGGUCUGAGAGGAUGAUCAGCCACACUGGGACUGAGACACGGCCCAGACUCCUACGGGAGGCAGCAGUGGGGGAAUAUUGGACAAUGGGCGCAAGCCUGAUCCAGCCAUGCCGCGUGAGUGAUGAAGGCCCUAGGGUUGUAAAGCUCUUUUGUGCGGGAAGAUAAUGACGGUACCGCAAGAAUAAGCCCCGGCUAACUUCGCGCCAGCAGCCGCGUAA
RNAcentral lists this ribosomal RNA (479 nucleotides) under uncultured bacterium. RNAcentral describes it as "SSU rRNA". It matches the Rfam family "Bacterial small subunit ribosomal RNA", at positions 26 to 522 of the family's 1533-position model. The record is from RNAcentral.